GAUGAACGCUGGCGGCGUGCUUAACACAUGCAAGUCGAGAGAAAUAGUUAAGGAGAUUCUUCGGAUGAUUCUUAACUGACUGAGCGGCGGACGGGUGAGUAACGCGUGGGUGACCUGCCCCAUACCGGGGGAUAACAGCUGGAAACGGCUGCUAAUACCGCAUAAGCGCACAGAGCUGCAUGGCUCGGUGUGAAAAACUCCGGUGGUAUGGGAUGGGCCCGCGUCUGAUUAGGCAGUUGGCGGGGUAACGGCCCACCAAACCGACGAUCAGUAGCCGGCCUGAGAGGGCGACCGGCCACAUUGGGACUGAGACACGGCCCAAACUCCUACGGGAGGCAGCAGUGGGGAAUAUUGCACAAUGGGGGAAACCCUGAUGCAGCGACGCCGCGUGAGCGAAGAAGUAUUUCGGUAUGUAAAGCUCUAUCAGCAGGGAAGAUAAUGACGGUAC
This 448-nucleotide ribosomal RNA is filed under the name uncultured bacterium. RNAcentral describes it as "bacterial SSU rRNA". It matches the Rfam family "Bacterial small subunit ribosomal RNA", at positions 28 to 478 of the family's 1533-position model. The record is from RNAcentral.